RNAcentral lists this ribosomal RNA (250 nucleotides) under uncultured prokaryote. RNAcentral's name for it is "partial 16S ribosomal RNA". It matches the Rfam family "Bacterial small subunit ribosomal RNA", at positions 524 to 773 of the family's 1533-position model. The record is from RNAcentral.
UACGGAAGGUCCGGGCGUUAUCCGGAUUUAUUGGGUUUAAAGGGAGCGCAGGCCGAUGGUUAAGCGUGACGUGAAAUGUAGGUGCUCAACAUCUGCACUGCGUCGCGAACUGGCUAUCUUGAGUGAGUUCGAUGUUGGCGGAAUUUGUGGUGUAGCGGUGAAAUGCUUAGAUAUCACGAAGAACUCCGAUUGCGAAGGCAGCCAACAAGGCCUUUACUGACGCUAAAGCUCGAAGGUGCGGGUAUCGAAC